This 469-nucleotide ribosomal RNA is filed under the name uncultured bacterium. RNAcentral describes it as "partial 16S ribosomal RNA". It matches the Rfam family "Bacterial small subunit ribosomal RNA", at positions 28 to 507 of the family's 1533-position model. The record is from RNAcentral.
GACGAACGCUGGCGGCGUGCUUAACACAUGCAAGUCGAACGGUGAAGCGAGUGCUUGCACUCGUGGAUCAGUGGCGAACGGGUGAGUAACACGUGAGUAACCUGCCCAUCACUCUGGGAUAAGCACUGGAAACGGUGUCUAAUACUGGAUACGACCAACCCUUGCAUGGGGUGUUGGUGGAAAGAUUUAUCGGUGAUGGAUGGACUCGCGGCCUAUCAGCUUGUUGGCGGGGUAAUGGCCCACCAAGGCGACGACGGGUAGCCGGCCUGAGAGGGUGACCGGCCACACUGGGACUGAGACACGGCCCAGACUCCUACGGGGGGCAGCAGUGGGGAAUAUUGCACAAUGGGCGAAAGCCUGAUGCAGCGACGCCGCGUGAGGGAUGACGGCCUUCGGGUUGUAAACCUCUUUCAGCAGGGAAGAAGCGAAAGUGACGGUACCUGCAGAAGAAGCACCGGCUAACUACGUG